UUAAUAAUUGCAAAUAAAUCAGACAAUAAAUUGUAAGAAUUUUAAGAUCCUCUGGCAGGCACUGACCAGCAAACUAGCCGGCGGUCCAAAAAACGGGCCUGCCAAAGCAACAAAGGUAUUGUAAACAAAGGGUGGGAGAUAUACCCCGAGAGGCAUGUUCUCUGUAAUGAUCCUUCCGCAGGUUCACCUACGGAAA
This 196-nucleotide unclassified non-coding RNA is filed under the name uncultured fungus. RNAcentral describes it as "sequence contains ITS1". Lineage: Eukaryota; Fungi. The record is from RNAcentral.